RNAcentral lists this ribosomal RNA (480 nucleotides) under uncultured Sphingobacteriales bacterium. RNAcentral describes it as "bacterial SSU rRNA". It matches the Rfam family "Bacterial small subunit ribosomal RNA", at positions 900 to 1382 of the family's 1533-position model. The record is from RNAcentral. Lineage: Bacteria; Pseudomonadati; Bacteroidota; Sphingobacteriia; Sphingobacteriales.
CUCAAAUGAAUUGACGGGGGCCCGCACAAGCGGUGGAGCAUGUGGUUUAAUUCGAUGAUACGCGAGGAACCUUACCUGGGCUCAAAUGUAUGUUGACGUAUUCUGAAAGGGAUACUUCUUCGGACAAUAUACAAGGUGCUGCAUGGUUGUCGUCAGCUCGUGCCGUGAGGUGUCGGGUUAAGUCCCAUAACGAGCGCAACCCCUAUCAUUAGUUGCCAUCAGGUCAAGCUGGGGACUCUAAUGAAACUGCCUACGCAAGUAGUGAGGAAGGUGGGGAUGACGUCAAAUCAGCACGGCCCUUACGUCCAGGGCUACACACGUGCUACAAUGGCCGAUACAGAGGGCAGCUACCUGGUGACAGGAUGCAAAUCUCCAAAGUCGGUCUCAGUUCGGAUCGGAGUCUGCAACCCGACUCCGUGAAGUUGGAAUCGCUAGUAAUCGCGCAUCAGCCAUGGCGCGGUGAAUACGUUCCCGGGCCUU